Molecule: long non-coding RNA, 1678 nt
Organism: Leopardus geoffroyi (Geoffroy's cat)
Lineage: Eukaryota; Metazoa; Chordata; Mammalia; Carnivora; Felidae
Exons: 2
Source: RefSeq, a predicted model, not a curated record
CGGCUGCGGCUGCUGCUACUGCGGCUGCCGCCUCAGAGUUGACUCCCAACUGAAGGGACCGUUUCCUGGAAGACAAUGACUAAGCAGAAAUCGCGGCUGAGAAAGUGCUUGAUCCUCAGUGGUGUUCCACCAGAGUGUCAAUGAGGCUUAGUCACAGCAAAUGCCAGUCAGGAUUCAUCCAGUGGUGGGGCAAUCCUGCUAAGUGUAAGCCAAAAAAAAGAAAAAUCUAGGGAGUGUUCAAGAAACACAUGUCUUGGUCUAGAAGCUGGUGACUGGGUGGCUGCAGGGCUGAGCUCUUAGCAUGUUGGCUCAGUGGCUGAACAUGGACCCAGACAGAGGCCUCAUGGUUGUUUCAAGCAUGCUCAUUUGAGUGGCCACUCAUUGGCGUAGGGAAUCAGAAAAAAGAAGCCUGAAACAUAUGGUUCUUGCCCUCUGAGAUGGCAGAAUAUGAAAUGAAAUGUUACAGACGAUGGCAUCGUGCAAUCCUGGGGGAGACGCAGCUUUGCCGUGGAAGAGGCACGGAAGAUGCGACCAGGGCUGGGCUCUGAGGGUUCAUCCUGGGAUGCACGUGGGUGGUGAGCACCAGGGUAAUGUGAACAUUACCUAACCUUCCAUGCUGUCAGGCAGUGUCAGUUGGCUUGGGUUUUUUUACCAGGCAGAAUCACCAGAUAAUGAGAAGGCAUUUUUCUGCAGAAAUCCUGCUCAGUUGGUUAGGCAGCUCCAAGGGGGUGAGUGGGCAGGCUCUUGGUUGGAAUGUCAUUGUCAUAUUUAUCAAUGCAUUAAUCACCACUGGCUGUAGGAAACUAGGCUACAAGCAGGGUGAGUUCCAUUCUCUGAAAUGAUAGAGUUGGCAUUUCAGGUAAGUAGCUGACAUGGCCUGCACCCAAAUUCCCCCUGGGCUUUUGUUAACCAAACGAGCACAUGUUCUGUCCUGUCCAAAGCUCCUGUGGCCCUGACUAGACUGGACAUGGAUCUACCCCAGGCUCCAGCCCCCAGCACAGCCUGUAUUCUCUAGAAUCCAGAGGUCCAUCAGUGGACCUAGGGCCCCAAAGCUUUUGUAUUUUCGCAGCAAGCACUGGUUGCCCUGGGUUUGGGGCUACAAAUGUCGCAAGGAAAACAGUCCAGGAGUACUCAGGCAUGACCCUCCCAGUGGCCUCUUUUCUCAGGAGUCUGUCUCUUUCAGAGCCUACUCUGAGCUCUACACCCCAUGGGUAGCAGAAGGUUACUGGGGGAUUAUCAAAGGAUUAGGGAGCUUUGCUGAGUGAGCAUGGAUGGGGUACUUUCUGCCAGAGUGACUUUUCUGAAACAGAUCUGAUCACACCACCCCUCUAUGGCUCUACAUCUCCUACAGCUGUAUUUAGACAAGUGUUAUCCAAUCAUCCUCUUCAACAAACUCAUCCAGCAAAGGGAGUGCUUAUAAAAAUGCAGAUUCCUGGGUCCACUCCCUGACCUGCUAAAUCUGAAUUUCUGUGUGCAGCAUUCGGGAACCACAGUUAGAACAAACUCCCCCAUGGAUAUCUCCUGUUACAGGAUAAAAUCCAAACUGCAGAGCCUGGAGUACAAGACCCACCAGGAUGUAGAUCUGUCUCUAUCUUCUCUCCCCCUGGAAGCACCUGCUCACCCUGUACUCCCAGCUUCUAGCCAGACUGAUGCACUGCACAGAGUUAGGGUCUCUCAC